AGAGCCGGUGCACCGACAGAGCCUGGUAUUGGCUUUGGGUCCGUGAAACACCACGGAUGCUCACAAACCCCGCGACCCGUCAACCAUCUUGACUCAAGGACCCCCCCCCACGCCCACCCCGAAUGCGGAGGGACCGGCGGGCUGGAAUCCACGACCGGCGAGUCUGCCCUCGCCUGCACACUGCAGCCUCAGCCUGGAGAGCCCCGGCACGCACCCCCGCCCCCCGCCCCCGCCCCGCCCCGUCGCGGGUCUUUUACCUUGUGGCCUUUCCCUGGGGGACACCUGACGUUGUUGGAGGCUCCCGCUGUUUGAUUCAUGUCCGGAGGAAGUUGGGGGGCCCGAUUCUCGGCCUUCAAAACUUCCUUCGCGCGUGGAGGGUGGCAAGGUGCGCGUCUCGGGGAGGCCAGGUGGGUCCUCCCUCUCCAGCCACGGCCGGGCGAGCGGAAGCCGGUUCCUCACGCCGCAGGUUUCGGCGGGGCUCCUCGCCCAGGGAUGACAGCCCGCAGCCCGGUGCUGAGGAAGGAGAAGCUGCGGCUGGGACCCCGGAGGGAGCCCGGGCGGCAGCAGCGGCUUCCAGGGCGCUCUGCCCAGCGCUGCCUUCCUGGGAAACAGUCCAGACUCUCAGGACCAGAAGCCCGAGCAAAUCGGAAAGGAGCUCCGAGGAGGGGCCAAGGAGCCCUCCACACCCUCAAAGGCUCAGGCUGGAGCCGUCAUCAGCGCAGAGCAGGCACCCCUCUCGCCUUGCAGCGGUCAUGAUCUAAUUAGUCAGCUUUCGGAUAGAGGUGGAAAACUGACCCUUGGGAACUAAGAAAAACAAAUCAAGAAAGAGCAACUGCUCCGUGAAGACUGCAUUGCAACAUUCUAGAAUUACAAGUCUGAGUGGUGGACCAGCAGCACAUUAGAAUACAGCCUUGGAGUUUAGCUAAAUGUUUUUUUCUAGAUUCCUGCAGGUAGAGAUGGCAGAGUUUGAAUAUUCUGGGUGGAAAAUCAAACCACACAACUCGGUUUCUGUUUCCAGAUCGCUCAUCCUUCGGUUCAUCAUCUGUAAAGUGAAGGAAGAUAUUGGCUUCCCCGGUGAGAACCGGAGCUGCGGUUCCUCCUCAGUCACGUUGGGGAACAGCACGUCCCCAUGGGUGCCCCUUUAGAGUAAAAAGGAGAUUUCCUUCUCAGGGGUCUGCCGAUGCUCACUGUCAUCUCCCUAGGUGGGUGUUUAGUGCUGUAUUCCAGGUACGGCAAGGUGGGAGGCGGUGGUUCAUCAGGUGGCAGGCAGUGUUAUUAACAACUACCUGGAACUGCUGAGAACGCUUCACGUUUACACACAGAUACCGCUGCUCUAUUGCACUCUCUUCUGACAGUAAAAUUCACAGUGUGAGGCAUCCUAAGAGUGUGGCACUGAGGAGUUACCACCCUCACGCUACUCUACUCUCAGCCUCCAGCAAUUCAUCACAAUUACCCCUGAAGUGUUCCUCCUGGUUUAUCUCCAGCGGCUUCUGCUCUGGCCAUGGCUGACCUCCAACUACAGGAAGUGACUGUGAUGAGGCCCAGCUGUCAUGCUUUGGAAUCCAUCACGGUGUGUGCCGAGGUCGCGCCUCCCUCCUCCCGGCCAGUAAUGGAGUGUGGCAGGCUGGUAACAAAGGCCUGCUCUUAGGAGAUGUGGGAGCUCCCUGAUGGCCAACUUUCAUUCAAGGACUGCCUGCAGAAAGAGUAUUCCGUGGGCCACACAGUGACUCAGAGAUCCAGCCAGUCUUCACUUGGCAGCUCUGUCAUCUCAACGUGUGGCUUCCAUCACCACAGCUGGAAAACCAAAAGCCAGAGAUUCAGCUUCAAGACCAUUUUCUCAUGUUCUAAAAGUUCAAAAGCAAGCACUCAGGAGAGAGUUGGCUAUGCGUUCCUGCCUUGGGUUUUCUAAGACUAACCACCUGGUGAAUUCCGCAAUCCUGUUAAAUGAUGCUCCUGAACCGAGGAGGACACAGGCAAGCCAAAGGCAGAAUGACUGUCUCCAUGAGUGAUGAGAGAGCUGCAGACCUGAUAGGCAGAUAGAGCAUUAUUAAUAGACCAGGGGUUGGUGCUGGCUAUCACCUGAGCUGCCCAGGCUCUUCUUGUGUGGCAUAAGGGACUUUCUGCCAUCAUUUGGAUUUGGAACGGUGGACGAACAUCUCCAGUAACACUGUCCAGACAAUAUAUAAAGUUGAAAAUUUACCAAAUACAGCAUAUUUAAAGGAGCUUUAUCUUUCAAAACAAUAUGCAUACAUUUUAAAGGCAAAUAAAUGAAUAUAAUACCAGUAAUUAUUGUUGAAUUAUCCUCUGUUUACUUGAGAUGGAAAUAAA
This is a long non-coding RNA of Equus asinus (donkey), 2328 nucleotides long. The record is from Ensembl. NCBI's taxonomy places the organism in Eukaryota, Metazoa, Chordata, Mammalia, Perissodactyla, Equidae.